CUGGAGUCUUUCUGCUGAGGCCAUUUCUCCUGUGACCAUGGGCUAAAGGGCACAGCCGCGUGCCCCCACAGCUGCUUCUGAAUUCUGAGCACAGGCCAGAGGAGGGGAAGGGCCGGAUGUUUGCAGAAGCAGAGCCGACCCUUGGGUAAAAAUGGGAAAACAAAAAGUGGUCAGGAUGGAUUCCAGAGUAGUUGGAGUUAUAGGGAAAUCUUCACUGCCAAUGUUCUCUAGAUCCUCAGCACUACGCCCUGGCCAGCCCCGAAGUCGUGGAGCCCCCCUCCUGCCCUGGGCUGGCCACCUCUCUCACUGGAUGAGUGAUGUGCUCUGGCUCAAAGGCUGAGGGGGCAGGUGGAGGAUGCCUGCCGCGGAACGUGGGUGCUCCCUCCAUCAGAAUCUUCUCACUGGGAGAGGAUCUGCGGCCGUCACCUGCAGCCCCGGUCCUGGCAGAGCUUUUGGAGAAAAUGAUGCAGAGUCUUGCUAUGUUGCCCAGACUGAUCUUGGACCCCUGAUCUCAAGCGAUCCUCCCACCUUGGCCUUCCAAAGUGCUGGUAUUAUAGGCAUGAGCCACUACACUUGGACCCAAACAGUGUGUCUUACACGUCCUGCAAUGUC
RNAcentral lists this long non-coding RNA (612 nucleotides) under Homo sapiens (human). RNAcentral's name for it is "HSALNT0160882". The record is from RNAcentral. Lineage: Eukaryota; Metazoa; Chordata; Mammalia; Primates; Hominidae.